Molecule: long non-coding RNA, 3858 nt
Organism: Clupea harengus (Atlantic herring)
Lineage: Eukaryota; Metazoa; Chordata; Actinopteri; Clupeiformes; Clupeidae
Exons: 4
Source: RefSeq, a predicted model, not a curated record
AGGAGCCAAAUCCAGAGCAGACUGGAGUGAAGGGGUAAAACAGUUCUUUAAUGAACCAGGCAAAAGCAUAAACACCUAGGCACAGCGGUAAUCUUCAGACAGUCCAGAGUCACAUAACCCAAACAGGCAGGCAGACGGGGCAGAACCAAGAAACAGUUGGCAAAAAGCCAGGCAGGCAGAAACAGGCAGACAUGAAGCAGGCAGAGGCACAGAAAAACAGGCAGGACGCUAAAUCACCAUAACAGGCAAAGGGGGCAAUCCAAGCGAACAGUCUGGCAAGGUCUAACCCCAUGUUCCAAAAACAAAGGCUUACUCUGUCCGAUACCCAGGCAGAAGUAAAAAAAACACAACGAAACUACAGAGUCCAGCCAGGGACAAAAACAGGUCAAAACAUGGACUUGCGAGUAUCAGUGUAAUAAUCCAGCACAGACUACAAGGCCCCCCAUCCACAAUCCAGCAAAUGGCAGGAUCUCAGAUCCUGCCGACGGGAGAAGGCAGAGUCGAGGAGCUUACCCCCCAGACAUCUAGACCGGGACCAACAGGUGGAGGUGGGGUGGAGGAAGGGACACCAGAGUCGGCAUACUGAGAUCAGCAGAGAGGUCAAUAAAAUCUGAAGUGUGACAUGUUAUCCGUGGCUGAUAGUGAAACGUUUUCAAACUCAUUCGUUGGAGGAAGGGACACCAGAGUCGGCAUACAGUGAGCAGCAAAGAGACGCAUAGAGAUCAGAUAGCAGUGAAGUGGUUUCCAGGAUGUCUGCAGAGUCCUCUAGCUCUGUUGUUCGUGACAUGGCUGCCACAUCUGAGUACUGGAUCUGGGGGACUCCGGUGUUGGGGGAUGGAGCAGGGGAACUCCGGCCUGACUCUGGUUUGGGAACCUUCAGCUUCAGGUUGGCAUAGCAAUCUUGGCCACUAGAGGGCACCUAGAAGAGAAUGACCAAAAGAAAUGAGGCACCAUCUUUUAAAGAUGUGGUCCUUGGCGCUUGCGACAGUUCAACCGUCAAUCAAAUACACCCCUCCCGUCAGUGCUCCUGAAGCUCCCGAUUGGCUGAAAUAAGGUGUUGAGUUUUUUGAGUGCACCUAGUAUGGACGGACAGCUAGGAAUGUGAGGAGAAUAUUGAUGAAUUUGCCAAGAAAUGUAAUGGAUUAUAAUCAAGGACUACCUCUUUAACUGUGACAUUCAAUACUAAUAUCCCUCCAUUAUAUUCCAUUCAGAUCAAUGAUAUAUCCACUGUACAUGAAGCCAAUCAGGAUUUUCAAAAAUACCUCAUGAUUAUGUAAUAUUACAGUACUGAUUACAAUUCUUUACUAAUGUUAAACACUGUAUUCCAGUGGGGAGCUGAAAUGUGACAUCAAUCAUAAACCCCGAACCAAGUCUGCAAAAUCACAAAUAGGACUUUGCACAUAGUUUGUACUUCUGUAUCACACUGUUAAGCUGCACACAAUGAUACAUUCAGUCUUUUAUAUACUGUAAAUGGUACUGCCAUUGAACACUACAUGUACUUACUGUAAGGGAGGACCUACUGGAUGUAAUGUUGUUAACCCUGUAAUGUUAAUAAGCUGCCUUGGCCACAGAUAGAAGCAUUAUAAUUUUAAACAUAUAUGUAAAUAGGCGCUUUUUUUGUAUUAUACUGUAAUAUAAUAUAAUACUAUUUUUCAAAAAAUCACUCAGCAUAAAAUACAAUGUAGCUUUAAGAAUAAAACAUGUAUACUGUAUUUACGCAACGGUUUGGUGAACCAUUUGUACUUGUGCUGAAUUUGUGUUUCUAUAGACAGGAUAGUUCAGCAAAAUGCUUUAUAGACAGUGGUGAAUGAUGAUGCAAAUUUAAAAGGCCUGAGCCAACCAAUAGAAGUGCUUUUGGUUGAACACGAUAGAUUUAUACAAUGUGUUUGCCAGUUGUAAAUAUUUGAUCAUGAAAAGUGUUUUUAUCUUGAGUGUAUUGUAUAGUCCACAGCUGUAAGAUUGCAUUUUUAUUUAUUUUUGUAUUUUUAGUAGUGCGAUUUUGAGAAAUCAGUCAUUGUUUCAUAAAAUGUAUAUUAGGAAUAUAUUCAUAUAUUUAUAUACCAAUUAUGUUUAAAAUAUUUACAUGUAAAUACAUCAAAAUGUCACACGGGGAUAAUUUUCCCUCACAUUAUAAAAAGUUCAGAGAGAUACAAUUAUUUUAAAAGGCAUUAGAUUUUACUAUAGUAACAAAAUUCCACUCACUUUUAUAGUGCUCCUUGUCAUGUGAUGGUUAUUAGAGAGGGUAGGGUUGCGUGUAAACUCGGUUCCUGUAAUCAAAUAUUGAUAAAUUAAAAUAGUGAUUCAAAAUAUAUUAGAUACAUUGCUGAUGUGGAAAUAAAAUGUACAGCUAGGCUACGUUAAACUGUGUCAACUUACUGGCUGGAGUGUAUCUGAUGUUUCCAUAGAUAGGAUUAUCCUCCAUUUCUGACAGUCUCAGGCUUAUGCUGUACCAGAUCCCAGAUCAGCACAGUCAAGCAAACAAAGACAGGGAAAAUGUAGAUGUGUUAACCCCAGUCUAACACAUUCAGUAUUUCCAGUGUAUGCUGUUCAGACUUACCUUCUCCUGAAGCGUGGCAGAAAUCUCUUCCCUUUGGCUAAAGAGGGGAAUAUUUUUCAAAAACAGAUACCAAGCACUUUGUAUCAAUAGAAUACACAGUAAUCGUCCAAAGAAAAAUAACUGAUGAAAAUAUAAUUUUCCUCCACUCACCUGUGCACUGUUUCCCGAAACAGCAAAGGAUAUUCCAGCACAUUGACAACACCAAAACAGUGCAAACUGCAGCAAAAAGCAUCCACAGUGUGUGCGACCCACACAACUCACCAGAACCUGGAAGAUGACACACAAAUACCAUAUUAGUACCAUAUUACCAUAGAGUUUCGGCCUGAUAACAAAGAUUACUCAGACGACAUGCUUCCGUUCCAUUUUUGUCAAACAAGAUGCAAUUCGAUUUCAUUUUAAUCUGAAGACUACAAGAUAUAAAAAUAUUUUUGUGUAUUUAACUCAUAUGCUAAACUCCCAAGCGAGUGAGAUAAAAUGUCAGGCCUUGACUUACCCCAAUGCGUGACGCUACAGUUCACCAUGUUGGAUUAAAAAACAACCCACGCUCUGGAUGUGGGAAUAAUUAGGGAAAUUACACCAUAACAGCUGCAAGAAUACACAUAAGAAUAUUUGGAAAGAAGUAAAUCUAAGUGAGGCUUACAGGCAUUCACUUAAAACAGUUACCUCUUGAACAAAGAAGCAAGCUCCUUCUCCCUGGCUUCUUCACAGAGGUUUGCUAGCAGGAUGUGCACACGCCUUGUGUCAUUGCACAAAUCAGCAAUGCAAUCUGCAGAAAAACCACAAACCUACCUAAGAGAAUAUCAAAAAAUGCAGAAAGACAGGAGAGAGAGAGAGUGUGUGUGUGUGUGAGAGAGAUAGAGUUUAUGUGUGUGUGUGGUGUGGUAUUCAUUGUAGAAACGUGGUAGUUCUAAAAGGGCCUCCACUACCAGAAAAUACAUCAGCCUUCCUUGGUGCAAUUAUAAAGCGAAAAAUCCUGAUAUCUAUAAUUACAUUGUGUUUCAGAAUGCAUUUUUUUUUUUUCAAUUACCCACAGCAAACCACCCCGCCCACAUGUGCCUGUGAUGUGUGAUGUGCUUAAUGUAAUGUUUUCUUGUAUGGAAUCAUGUUUUUUUUUUGUUCAUCAUGUUUGCUUGUUGUGAGUGUUAUUUCAGUUUGGACUUAACCAGUUUUCGAGGAAACUAUUAUAUCCAGCACACGUUUCACAGUGUAUAACAAAUAUUGAUCAAACGUACCGUACCUCUGCACAGUACUAUCAGCUCCAUAAGACAAACGUGUCUGCCAAGUAAAUACAUUUUCAUUUA